Long non-coding RNA from Contarinia nasturtii (swede midge), 1020 nucleotides. RefSeq lists it as uncharacterized. Lineage: Eukaryota; Metazoa; Arthropoda; Insecta; Diptera; Cecidomyiidae. The transcript is spliced from 3 exons. The record is from RefSeq and is a predicted model, not a curated record.
GUUAUCGUCGAACCGAGUGAGUGUACGUGUACAUUGUUGCCUUUAUGGGCAUUGUUAUUACCUUCAUGUCGCCGUUUGACCGCGUAUAUUUUGUGAACGUUGUUUCAGUUGUUAUUUCACUCGCAUACAAUAUAGCCGUAAAGAUCAGUGUCACACACAGCAACUAUUCAAAAAAGUGGGAAAAAAAACGCCAUACAACAACAUAAAAAUUCAAGAAGUAUACCACGAUCACACGUGUAAAAAACAAGUUUUUUUGUUUAAAUAAAUUUCAACUCAUCAGUUGUUGUUUGACCGUCAUUUACGAAAGGUGAAAUAAAUUUAAAAGAAAAAGAAAUCAAGAUGAAGUUCGUUUUAUUAUUUGCAUUUUGCUGUGCUGCCUUCGCAUCAGUUUCUGGCGAUUUGACUGAUGAUGUAAAUUGCGGCGUCAUAAGAGCAAGGAGCAAGUUCGGGAGUGAGGGAGGCUUCGACAGCUUUAAAACCAGUCUUUUGGUCCUUAAAUGCGAUAUGGGAUUGGGUAGCAUGUCCGACAAUGCCUUUUUGAUUAUUUCGUAUAUAAUCAUUGCAAUCUUGGCACUGAUUGCUUUAAUGAUAAUCGUAUCGGUUGUAAAAUGCAUAUUCUGUGCAUAAAUCACAAUAUGCCCAAUCAGCUGAUUGUUGUAUAUAUACAGAUAGAAUGUAAAGCAAACAAAAUUGACAAAUGCCUAACGUUUACAAAAAUUGUAUAAAUUGCAUGUAAGAUCUUCUAUUUUGCAUAAAUUCAAAAUUGUGGGUUCGAAAGCAGCAAUGUUAUCCAAAAAAAAACGAACAAAAAACGAACAAAGUCUCUGAACUUUGGGUUAUGUUCUUUUCUGUGCUAUGCCAAAAUCAGCCAAUCUAAAUUAAAUGUUUGAAAUGAAUCUUUAAAAAUUUGAUAAAUUUUAAGUUUUCUUCUCUCUCUAAUAAUAUAUUGUAACAAUCGAUUUGAAAGCCAUUUUGAAUAAAGAGUGUUUUUUUGUAAUUUUAAAAAAUCUAAAAAGAAAA